UAAUGAUUUGUCUUUGUUUAAUUAUUUUACUUAAAAUAUUAACUAUAAUUCAUUUAAUUAGUUAGAAGUAUACAAAUUUGAAAUUUAUGUACAAGUACGUGCAUUCAAAAUUCCAACCAAAAUGCAUUUAAACAAUGUAAGAAUUGUUGUUGAAACGUUUUGAUGAUUAGGCGUAGAUGGAACCCAUAUUUUUAUUUCUCAUAAAACUAGAACGCUUAAGCAUUUAACAAGUAUGCAUAUAUCACAACCUUCUCUCUCUCUCUCUCUAUACAUUUUAUAAAUCUCACCAUUCCUAGUCAUCUGCUUUAUUGACACCACUUUGUGUCACCAAUUAAAUAAAGCAUGGACAUAAUCAUUUGCCCAUCUAUCACCCUUUCCCUCUUUGUGUCAAGACCCAGCAAUAAUUUAUAAUUAUAUUUUUAAUGAGUGUUUUAAUUACAUGUAUUGCUUUUGUUGUUAAAACAUCUAAUCUUUGUUGAAUUUACUUUUUUUUUUUCCCAUUUUUGUUAAGUGUUACAUUUACAAUUUGACAUGGCAUAAUUUGAUCCUUUUUUUUCUUAAUAAACAUAAAUUUCUUUCACUUCAAGUAUACAGACUAUAAAAACAAGUUUACAAUAAAUUUCUUUCAUGUGCUAUAAUUAUGACAUCUUUGUUAAUCUAAAAAUUAAAUAGUACUAACAUUGACUAAAUAAAUUUAGGGGAAAAAAAGGAUGGGGGUAUCACGGGGAACCCGUGAGUCCGUAGGGGAUCAAAGCAUUUGCUAUUGCUACGUGGCAAAUUGGCAAUAAUGGAAUCUGAAUCUGUUGAGUGACGUGGCGUCAUUGCAGAUUCGGCAGUUUAAUUGUCACUGUCCUCACUGUAAUUUCGCCUCCUUUAACGGCAGUCUUCAUGUGCCGGUAACUAACGCCUCUUGAUAAAAGUGUAAGCACAGGUCUUCCCUCGUUAUAACGCCUGUUAUCCCGGACUCCAAACUUUCGUACGUUGGAUUUAAUAAAUUUUCCCGCUAAAACUGGUGGACUGUGAAAAGAAUAUAGAAAAUUGGAAAAAAAAAUUAAAUUGAAAUUUAAUUAGGAAUGUGCGCAGUGGGGCCUUUAGUAAGUUCCCUUCUGAAAAUGACAGCACAUUAGUCAUCAGGAAGGCGGGAACAUAUUUUUCAUUUCAUUUCAUUUCUUUUUUUGGAAAAAUAGUGACAAUAAAUUGAUUUGAUGUUUGAUUGGAUGGGAUGAGUGAUGAUUUAAAAAAAAAAAAAUCUUUUUUAAUUAUUUAAACAAUUUCCAAGCAAUAUAUCAGCAUCACAUGUUUGCCGCCCACUCUGUACAAACUAACUUCCAUACGUCAACUGUGUGAGUAUGUGUGCGCACAAGCAUCUCGUCUGGGUAGGGUAAAUGUAAAAUCUCUUUAUCCUCGUAAUUUUGGGACCAAUUAUUUUUAUUUUUAUGAGAAAAUUAUAAGAGGCACAUAAUUUUUUUUUUGUUUUAGCUUAAUUAUCCUUAAUCUAAAUAAUAUGUAUUACAUUAAUCUUAUAUGAUUAGGAAUAUAUAAUUAUUACAACAUCAUCUUAAAAUCUAAACAUUUACAUUCUCUUUAAUAUUUUUCUCUCAG
RNAcentral lists this long non-coding RNA (1602 nucleotides) under Citrus x clementina. RNAcentral's name for it is "Citrus clementina (C. clementina) long non-coding RNA (CCLE_LNC003222)". The record is from RNAcentral. Lineage: Eukaryota; Viridiplantae; Streptophyta; Magnoliopsida; Sapindales; Rutaceae.